UAUAUUUGAGAGUUUGAUCCUGGCUCAGGAUGAACGCUGGCGGCGUGCCUAACACAUGCAAGUCGAGCGAACCCUUCGGGGUGAGCGGCGGACGGGUGAGUAACGCGUGGGUAACCUGCCCUGUACACACGGAUAACAUACCGAAAGGUAUGCUAAUACGGGAUAACAUAUGAAAGUCACAUGGCUUUUGUAUCAAAGCUCUGGCGGUACAGGAUGGACCCGCGUCUGAUUAGCUAGUUGGUAAGGUAACGGCUUACCAAGGCAACGAUCAGUAGCCGACCUGAGAGGGUGAUCGGCCACAUUGGAACUGAGACACG
This 317-nucleotide ribosomal RNA is filed under the name Paraclostridium sordellii. Its description in RNAcentral is "bacterial SSU rRNA". It matches the Rfam family "Bacterial small subunit ribosomal RNA", at positions 1 to 328 of the family's 1533-position model. Lineage: Bacteria; Bacillati; Bacillota; Clostridia; Peptostreptococcales; Peptostreptococcaceae. The record is from RNAcentral.